RNAcentral lists this long non-coding RNA (340 nucleotides) under Gallus gallus (chicken). The record is from RNAcentral. Lineage: Eukaryota; Metazoa; Chordata; Aves; Galliformes; Phasianidae.
GUUUUUCUUCAUGAAUCUUUGGCAGCACCUCUUGACAAAGCUUGUUGUAGGCCUCUAGGCAUUCUGGUUUUACAUUGUGAAUCUGUAGUUUAUACAGACUGCUGGUCUCUCUUUUGGCUAGAAGGUUGGAGUGAGCAUCUUUCCUUGGAUCGACUUUGCGAACAAAUAGCGAUUUUAACCAACUGUCUUCACGAGGUCUGCUAGCUGAAGAUACCAUCCCCCGAUGUGGCCGUGCGCUGCGCCUGCAGCAGGAAGGCGGGGGGGCGCCACAGCCCGGGCGCUGGGAGCGGUGAGCGCGGGCAGACGCGCUGCGGGACAGCAGCCGGGCCGGGGACGCGCC